CAUGUGUCCCUCCGUGACCACAAGGAUGAAAUCAAAGUCUAUCAGCAAUACUGUGGAACAGAAAACAUCUGUGUCUAUAAAGGCGACCUGUUGGAAGGAGAUACCUUCCAGUUCAUCUCUAAGAGGUACCUGGGUUACCCGUUCAGCCUCACCUUUUAUCUCAACGGGCUCCAAGUUGACAGGCUGAGCUGUUGCUGUGAGUACAGAGGCUUCCAGAGUAAGAGGCCGUCCCGGCUGCGACGCAAAAACACCUACUUCAGGGUGCUCCAUGUGGCAGGAGCACCUCCUUGCUACAGGUGCUUCCUUGCCAUGGGUCUGGACAAAAAGCUGUACCCCCCCAAGAGGAAGAUGAAGGUGCCCACGCGGUCGCACAUGUGCUCCUGCUCUCCCUACUGCGCGCACAGCCUGCCCUGCGACAGCAGCAGCGCGCUGCAGAAAUCCAUCCAGGGCUCCGUGUCCCUCACCAUGCCCAGCCAGGAGGAAAGCGUGGACACCAUCGACGUAACGCUGGACUCUGAAGAGGAGUGCUGCGAAGAAGAGGAGUGCUGUGAAGAAGAGGAGUACUGCGAAGAAGAGGAAUUUGAAGAAGAAGAAGUAGAAGAAGAAGGAGUAGAAGAAGAAGGAGUAGAAGAAGAAGUUGAAGAAGGAGGAGUAGAAGAAGAAGCAGAAGUAGAAACAAUAGACCAAUCUCUUGUGGAGACCGAAGGCACCACUCAGGGAACCACCAGUGAAAGUGAAUAUGAUGAAGAUUUUGAAGCAGAUGAAGAAGUUAAUGAAGAGGGACAGACUGGUGAUCAAAUGAAUGGAAUGUCAAAGUCAUCCUCAGAUGAUAAAAACCAUAAUUUAGACUAUGGAAAGGAGAGUGAAACCUCAUCUCAGAAGGCACUGCAGGCCUCUGACAGUGAGAAAGAUAAAAGUGGCAGAUAUUCUGAUGACAGGGACUCUGAAGAUGAUCUACCAGGUUGGUUUUGUUCAUAACGAGGCUUGGAGGA
RNAcentral lists this long non-coding RNA (992 nucleotides) under Serinus canaria (Common canary). Its description in RNAcentral is "lncRNA (ENSSCAG00000008300.1)". The record is from RNAcentral. Lineage: Eukaryota; Metazoa; Chordata; Aves; Passeriformes; Fringillidae.